UAGAGUUUGAUCCUGGCUCAGAGCGAACGUUAGCGGCAGGCCUAACACAUGCAAGUCGCACGAGAAUUCGGCUUCGGCCGAUAGUAAAGUGGCGGACGGGUGAGUAACACGUGGAUAAUCUGCCCUUCGGCGGGGGAUAACAGUCCGAAAGGAUUGCUAAUACCGCAUACGUCGGCGAGGUCUUUGGACCUUGUCGGGAUAGGUGGCCUCUUCAUGAAAGCUACCACCGAAGGAUGAGUCCGCGGCCCAUCAGCUAGUUGGCGGUGUAAGAGACCACCAAGGCGAAGACGGGUAGCUGGUCUGAGAGGAUGAUCAGCCACACUGGAACUGAGACACGGUCCAGACUCCUACGGGAGGCAGCAGUGGGGAAUAUUGGGCAAUGGGCGCAAGCCUGACCCAGCCAUGCCGCGUGAGUGAUGAAGGCCUUCGGGUCGUAAAGCUCUGUGGAGAGGGAAGAGACCCGCUAUGGCUAAUAUCCAUGGCGAUUGACGGUACCUCUUUAGCAAGCACCGGCUAACUCCGUGCCAGCAGCCGCGGUAAUACGGAGGGUGCAAACGUUGCUCGGAAUCAUUGGGCGUAAAGCGCACGUAGGCGGCUCGUUAAGUCGGAUGUGAAAGCCCUGGGCUCAACCCACGAAGUGCAUUCGAAACUGGCGAGCUUGAAUAUGGAAGAGGGUCGCGGAAUUCCCGGUGUAGAGGUGAAAUUCGUAGAUAUCGGGAGGAGCACCAGUGGCGAAGGCGGCGACCUGGGCCAUAUUGACGCUGACGUGCGAAAGCGUGGGGAGCAAACAC
This 791-nucleotide ribosomal RNA is filed under the name uncultured soil bacterium. RNAcentral's name for it is "SSU rRNA". It matches the Rfam family "Bacterial small subunit ribosomal RNA", at positions 1 to 775 of the family's 1533-position model. The record is from RNAcentral.